Molecule: ribosomal RNA, 618 nt
Filed under: Triticum aestivum (bread wheat)
Lineage: Eukaryota; Viridiplantae; Streptophyta; Magnoliopsida; Poales; Poaceae
Description: partial small subunit ribosomal RNA
Source: RNAcentral
GGAUCGGAGACGACAGCCACAACAACAAUUUGGGCAAUGUCCGAGCUGAUGAGGAGCCCACACAUAAUGGCUGCCACACAGUCUGAAGUUCGAGGAGUCCUCCACGGUAAGACUGAGGUGACUGAGGCUGACAUCGAUGGCCUGCUGCACUACCUGCAGAUGGUCAUCAAGGAGACCUUCAGGUUGCAUCCACCGGUGUUGUUUCUCAUGCCGAGGCUUUGCACUGACCAAACAAAGGUCAUGGGCUAUGAUAUUCCACAAGGCACCACGGUAUUCGUGAAUGUGUCGGCAAUCGAUAGGGACGAGAAUAGCUGGACUAAUGCGAGUGAGUUCAUGCCCAAGAGGUUUGACGAUGAAAAGGUUGAUUAUGGUGGUACGGACUUCAGAUUCCUCCCUGGCGGCACUGGACGGAGAAUGUGCCCUGGUAUGAUGUUUGGAGUGUCAAACAUCGAGAUGGCUCUUGUGAGCCUUCUCUAUCACUUUGACUAGAAGCUUCCCGAUGGUGGGAACCCGAAGAACCUUGAUAUGGGUGAAGCAUAUGGGAUCACAGCUCGUCGUAGGACCGAGCUUGUGUUGGAAGCUACUGUUUUUGUGCCUUAGUUUGGUUUGUCUACAUGA